Molecule: unclassified non-coding RNA, 357 nt
Filed under: Zea mays
Lineage: Eukaryota; Viridiplantae; Streptophyta; Magnoliopsida; Poales; Poaceae
Description: misc RNA Zm00001eb090940
Source: RNAcentral
GGAACCGUUGCAGGCGCCCGAUGUGGGUCCGCAAGGAGCUAUCUCAUUGGUUUACCAAGUAAAGAUCAGAUUGACUAUGUCUUCUUCAGCUGCUUCAGCUCCCUUGGUCUUGGCCCCACAGUCGGGGUCUCGUGACCAUGAGGAUGGGUCCGAGUCUCGACGUCGACCUCAGCCGCGUUCACCUCAGGGUGGAUCUCGUGAAGAAGACAAAUUUUUGAGCAUCGGUGGGCUUGGACAGCGUUGUCCGGUCAAGGAGAGGCUGAGACCACAGGGCUCAGCUUCGGAGCAGUCGGAUAGUGAGGCUAUUGUGGGAAGUCUUUGUUAUGGUACAAAAAGCAUGCACUGUGCGGGCCUUGA